CCACAAGUAUACGAAAUAUGUCUGAUGCUUAAUUUUUUUAUUUAUUUUCCUUACAGUGUUUAUCUAAGGCUAAUCAAACAGGUGUAUAGAGUGCACAUAAUUAAAAAUAGUGAAGAUAAAUUCAGAGAAAAUAAUACUGGAAUAUAAUUCACAUUAAUUAAACAAUACUCCUAUUGCUUCUAAAUAGAAUUACUUACGGGGCAAUAUUUUCUUCCUUGAAAAAUAGUUGAUUAAAAAGGAACCGUCGUGUUAGCGUAAUCA
Molecule: long non-coding RNA, 261 nt
Filed under: Lathyrus oleraceus (garden pea)
Lineage: Eukaryota; Viridiplantae; Streptophyta; Magnoliopsida; Fabales; Fabaceae
Description: Pisum sativum (pea) long non-coding RNA (PSAT_LNC031702)
Source: RNAcentral